ACUCCUCUUUUAGCCAUACCAGCCCUGUAACUACUUUUUGACUGUAAUCUCUACAACUCUUCUUUUCUUUUCUUUUUUUUUGAAAAAAAAAUAGUAUGUCACACCGCUUGGUUUAUUAUUUUUUGUAGAAAUAAAUUUAGUUAGAAAUGUGAAUCAAUUAGCAUUCGAACUUGGGAUCUCGGAUACCAACUACCAAACUUUUUGCCACUUGCUAUAGCGAUGGUCGGUUAAUCCUACAACUUUAUUGAUUUGGUUCAUGUAAGCUUUUUUUUUGCUAAGAUAUCGUUUGGUUCGGAAAUAAAUAAAAAGUGGUUAUUCCAAGAAUAAAUAUAAAUUGAGAAAUAAGCGGGGAUUAGAUUAAUUUUGCGUUUGUAUGAAAUUUAAGUAAUUCCUGAAAAUAAAAAAAAUUAGCGUUAAAGGAUAGUGGAUUUUAUUUUAAAAAACUAAUGAUAGUACCCUCUUAUUAUAUUUGAAUUUGAAUUUUUUAUUUUUUAAAUCUAUAUUUUUAAAUUUAAAAUUUUAACUUUGAAAUUUCAAAAUUUGAAAUUAAAAUUUGAAAUUUAAAAUCUCAAAUUUAAAUUCAAAAUUUUAAAUUUUAAAUCUCAAAUUUAAAUUUAAGAUCAAAUUUAAAUUGAAAAAAUAUAAAAUAUAAAAUUUUAAAUUUUAAAAAUAUAAAAUAUCAAAUUUUAAAUUUUAUAAUUUAAAAUUAUAAACUUUAAUUUUGAGAUUAUAAAUUAAAAAUUUUAAAAAUUUAAAUUUUUAAUUUUUAAAUAAAAUUUUAAAAUAAAAAUAAUUGUGGGAACAAUUAAUAAAAAUACUUUAUUAUAAUAAAUUUAUAAAUUUUUUUAAAAUUUAACUUAAACUUAAAUUUAAUAAAAAUAAUUUAUUAUAAUAUUUAAAUAUAAUUUAUUAUUUUAUUAUAAAAUUUAUUAUUAUAUUUAAAUAUAAAUAAUAUGUAUUAAUAUAGUAUAAUUAAUAAUUUCAUAAUAAAAAUAAUAUAUUAUAAUUUAUAAUAUUUUAUAUUUAUAUAAUUUAGUUUUAAUUAAAUUUAUAAUUUUAAUUAAGAUUGAAAUUAAGUAUUGGAAUAACACUAUUCCAUCAAAAUGAUGGAACCUCAAAUUCCUUACUAUUCCGGAAUAAUCGGGAAUAGGAAGGUUUGAUCUGGAUAAAAUAUCCCGAUAAAAUGUCACUCCGUUUGGCGGAAUAGCGGGGAUAAUUUUCGUUAUCCUCGCUUAUCCUCCGAACCGAACGGGGCUAAAUGUUUGUUUUUUAAGAAAGUUUUAGUGGAGACAAUUUUUAUGGUGAGAG
RNAcentral lists this long non-coding RNA (1308 nucleotides) under Ananas comosus (pineapple). Its description in RNAcentral is "long non-coding RNA (ACOM_LNC021659)". Lineage: Eukaryota; Viridiplantae; Streptophyta; Magnoliopsida; Poales; Bromeliaceae. The record is from RNAcentral.